CCUACGGGGGGCAGCAGUAGGGAAUAUUGCUCAAUGGGGGAAACCCUGAAGCAGCAACGCCGCGUGGAGGAUGAAGGUUUUCGGAUUGUAAACUCCUUUUGUUAGAGAAGAUAAUGACGGUAUCUAACGAAUAAGCACCGGCUAAAUACGGGCCAGCAGCCGCGGUAAUACGGAGGGUGCAAGCGUUACUCGGAAUCACUGGGCGUAAAGGGCGCGUAGGCGGGAUAGCAAGUCAGAUGUGAAAUCCUAUGGCUUAACCAUAGAACUGCAUUUGAAACUGUUAUUCUAGAGUAUGGGAGAGGUAGGUGGAAUUCUUGGUGUAGGGGUAAAAUCCGUAGAGAUCAAGAGGAAUACUCAUUGCGAAGGCGACCUGCUAGAACAUAACUGACGCUGAUGCGCGAAAGCGUGGGGAGCAAACAGGAUUAGAUACCCUAGUAGUC
Molecule: ribosomal RNA, 440 nt
Filed under: uncultured bacterium
Lineage: Bacteria
Description: partial 16S ribosomal RNA
Rfam family: Bacterial small subunit ribosomal RNA
Source: RNAcentral